This 2152-nucleotide unclassified non-coding RNA is filed under the name Dimorphilus gyrociliatus. Its description in RNAcentral is "dgyrCDS8790". Lineage: Eukaryota; Metazoa; Annelida; Polychaeta; Dinophilidae. The record is from RNAcentral.
AUCCGUGAAACGUACGUUUCAGGGUUAUUUGUUUUCUUCUUUUCCCUUUUAUUUUUUACAAAGCGAACGAGGUUAUUUAUACCCGUCGCUUUCGCUAUGAACGAUACAAUCAAGUGCUUGGCGCCUAUCUGAAGCACUUUACUGCUCGAAUUACGUUCUGUUUUCGUAUUGAAGUCGCUGAUUUCGUUAGAAAUUUUUCUGUGUGGUCACGCCAAUAGAUUUGCGUGCUGCACUUUCGUGGUCGUUUCAAUACGCGUUUAAUGCCUUUAAUUUCUCCGGUAGCAUAGGCUGUUUCACUCGCAAUUAUAUGCGAUAAAUUUUCGGCUACAAAAUUUUCUCACGUUCUAAUCGCAAACGAACAUCUCUGCUGGUUUACUAUAAUCAUGAUAAAUAAUUAAUGUCCGCAUUCGGACAUCCACAACCUAGAUAUUACAUUUUUUGAAUAGUACAAGGAAUAGACAGUCACGCACUCAAGAAAAACCCCCCUCCCCUUUUCACAACUCUUCCAGACCGUAUGCACAAAAUGAAAAAAACGGUGGUGUACAAGAGUGAUUAUGCAGACAGCUGUAUGCGAGAACGCCUGCAGUCUCGUACAAAAUCAGUGACACAAACUAUCCGUCACGCAAAUCAGGUCAGACGUUGACGGCGUCGAACGAAUUAACCAAUAAGGAAGGAGUGAAAAUCAGAUACCAGUUCCGCGUCAGGAUUAGCCAAUGAGAAGGCAGCUGUGAAAAGGGGGUGUGGGAGGAGUUUAUGUUUGAAUGACGCAGAGAGCGCGAACCGUCAGAGGUCAAGAGCAGAAGACAGCCAAAAGACGAACAAGCGUCAUGCAGGAUUACCGUCGACACGAAGACGUGAAAAAUAUGCCGACGACAUCUCCUCCGCCAACAUCAAGUCGUAUUCUAGUCGACGUUCCGUGUAAGGUGUGCAGGGAUCAUUCAAGCGGCAAGCAUUACGGGAUUUACGCCUGCGAUGGGUGCGCAGGAUUUUUUAAGCGUUCCAUUAGACGUAAUAGGCAGUACGUAUGCAAGAACAGAGCCGGAUCGCCCUGUCCAGUUGACAAGACCCACCGCAAUCAAUGUAGAGCAUGCCGGUUAAAGAAGUGCAUAGAGGCUGGAAUGAACAAAGACGCCGUUCAACACGAAAGGGGACCCCGCAAUUCAACCAUUCGUCGCCAGAUGGCACUCUAUUUAAAAGAAUCAAAUGAUAUGGCAACGACCGUCUUUCCAGCGGCAUUCCGCCAUCCUUAUCUCCAUCAUCCGGCUACAUUCCUCUCACCGCCUCCACCCUUGCCUCUGGCCUCAGUUCGACCGGAAGUUAGGACAUCGCCAGCUAUAGUGAUUGAAGAACGUAACUCAACUCCAACACCGACGUUGACAACGACGUCAAUUAAGUACGCUCAUGAGUUGCCACCCACACCACCCACAAGCGUCGAUUCCGCUGAAUCGGUGUGUGAAGCUGCCGCCAGAAUCCUCUUCAACAUCCUGAGUUGGAUGAAGAGUACACCAGCCUUUCUCCGUCUACCUGUAAGUGACCAAUUAAGCUUGUUAGAGGAAGGAUGGCGGGAAAUGUUUGUACUAGGAGCUGCUCAAUUUCAACUACCAAUCGAAGCUGCAUCUCUUUUAACUGCUGCUGGAAUAUCGCCAGAUAAAUCACCCAGCGAUGACUCUAUCGCGGCUAUUGCAGAGAUAAGAGUCCUUCAGGACACUAUCGCCAAAUUCCGCUCAAUGCAGGUUGACCGGAGCGAAUAUGCUUGCUUAAAAGGCAUCGUCAUCUUCAAAACAGCCGUUCAAAAUAACGACAUCAAAAGCGCUCAAGAUAUAGCCGCUAUCCAAGACCAAGCUCAAGUGACUCUUAGCACCUACAUCAACAAAGCCUAUCCGUCUCAACCCCUCAGAUUUGGACAAUUACUCCUACUCCUUCCCUCAUUAAAGUCGGUGAGCUCGGCAACUAUCGAACGACUCUUCUUCAAGAAGGCGAUUAGAGAUGUUCCAAUUGAUAAAUUAUUAGUAGAUAUGUACAAAUCGAACGACUAUAUUAAUGAAAUUCCACUUUCCUAGAGAAUUGGGCUGUUAUUUAUACAGUUUAAAAACAAAUACAAUAAACUUAUAUCUAUAAACUGUAUUCAUAAGAGCUUAAAGCUUUUUUAUAU